This 555-nucleotide ribosomal RNA is filed under the name uncultured bacterium. RNAcentral's name for it is "partial 16S ribosomal RNA". It matches the Rfam family "Bacterial small subunit ribosomal RNA", at positions 355 to 900 of the family's 1533-position model. The record is from RNAcentral.
UAGGGAAUCUUGCCACAAUGGACGCAAGUCUGAUGGAGCAACGCCGCGUGAGUGAAGAAGGUUUUCGGACCGUAAAGCUCUGUUGUUGGUGAAGAAGGAUAGAGGUAGUAACUGGCCUUUAUUUGACGGUAAUCAACCAGAAAGUCACGGCUAACUACGUGCCAGCAGCCGCGGUAAUACGUAGGUGGCAAGCGUUGUCCGGAUUUAUUGGGCGUAAAGCGAGCGCAGGCGGAAGAAUAAGUCUGAUGUGAAAGCCCUCGGCUUAACCGAGGAAUUGCAUCGGAAACUGUUUUCUUGAGUGCAGAAGAGGAGAGUAGAACUCCAUGUGUAGCGGUGGAAUGCGUAGAUAUAUGGAAGAAUACCAGUGGCGAAGGCGGCUCUCUGGUCUGCAACUGACGCUGAGGCUCGAAAGCAUGGGUAGCGAACAGGAUUAGAUACCCUGGUAGUCCAUGCCGUAAACGAUGAGUGCUAAGUGUUGGGAGGCUUCCGCCUCUCAGUGCUGCAGCUAACGCAUUAAGCACUCCGCCUGGGGGAGUACGACCGCAAGGUUGAAAC